Molecule: ribosomal RNA, 253 nt
Filed under: uncultured bacterium
Lineage: Bacteria
Description: partial 16S ribosomal RNA
Rfam family: Bacterial small subunit ribosomal RNA
Source: RNAcentral
UACGGAGGAUGCAAGCGUUAUCCGGAAUUAUUGGGCGUAAAGAGUCCGUAGGUGGCGAUUCAAGUCUGCUGUCAAAGCGUGGAGCUUAACUCCAUUAAGGCAGUGGAAACUGAAUGGCUAGAGUCCGGUAGGGGUAGCGGGAAUUCCCAGUGUAGCGGUGAAAUGCGUAGAGAUUGGGAAGAACAUCGGUGGCGAAAGCGCACUACGGGGCCGGAACUGACCCUGAGGGACGAAAGCUAGGGGAGCGAAAGGG